UCCGGUUGAUCCUGCCAGAGAUCACUGCUAUCGGGAUUCGAUUUAGCCAUGCAAGUCAAGGGGGUCUUCGGACCACCGGCAUAAUGCUCAGUAACACGUGGAUAAUCUACCCUCGGGAGGGGCAUAAGCUCGGGAAACUGAGUUUAAUUCCCUAUAGCCAUCCGAUUGCUGGAAUGCGCGGAUGGUCAAAUGUUACAGCGCCCGAGGAUGAGUCUGCGGCCUAUCAGGUUGUAGUGAGUGUAACGGACUCACUAGCCGACGACGGGUACGGGCCUUGAGAGAGGUAACCCGGAGAUGGAUUCUGAGACACGAAUCCAGGCCCUACGGGGCGCAGCAGGCGCGAAAACUUCGCAAUGCGGGAAACCGCGACGAGGGAAUCCCGAGUGCCUACACAUUUGUGUAGGCUGUUUAUGUGCCUAAAAAGCACGUAGAGUAAGAGCUGGGUAAGACCGGUGCCAGCCGCCGCGGUAAUACCGGCAGCUCGAGUGGUGGUCAUUUUUACUGGGCCUAAAGCGUCCGUAGCCGGUUGAGUAAAUCCCUGGGUAAAUCGUACCGCUUAACGGUACGACUUCCGGGGACACUGCUCGACUUGGGACCGGGAGAGGUUGGAGGUACUCCAGGGGUAGGGGUGAAAUCCUGUAAUCCUUGGGGGACCACCUGUGGCGAAGGCGUCCAACUAGAACGGCUCCGACGGUAAGGGACGAAGCCCUGGGGCGCAAACCGGAUUAGAUACCCGGGUAGUCCAGGGUGUAAACGCUGCGGACUUGGUGUUGGAAGUUCUACGAGUUCCUCCAGUGCCGGAGAGAAGUUUGUUAAGUCCGCCGCCUGGGAAGUACGGUCGCAAGACUGAAACUUAAAGGAAUUGGCGGGGGAGCACAGCAACGGGUGGAGCGUGCGGUUUAAUUGGAUUCAACGCCGUAAAACUCACCGGAGGCGACUGUUACAUGAAGGCCAGUUUGAUGGACUUGCCUGAUUUUCAGAGAGGUGGUGCAUGGCCGCCGUCAGUUCGUACCGUAAGGCGUUCUGUUAAGUCAGAUAACGAACGAGACCCCCAUUCUUAUUUGCCACUUAUCUCUCAGGAGAUGAAGCACUAUAAGAGGACCGCUGGCGCUAAGUCAGAGGAAGGCGGGGGCAACGGUAGGUCAGUAUGCCCCGAAUCCUCCGGGCGACACGCGCGCUACAAAGGAUAGGACAAUGGGCUGCGAUACCGAAAAGUAAAGCCAAUCCCGAAACCUAUUCGUAGUCCGGAUUGAGGGCUGUAACCCGCCCUCAUGAAGCUGGAAUCCGUAGUAAUCGCGGGUCAACAUCCCGCGGUGAAUGUGCCCCUGCUCCUUGCACACACCGCCCGUCAAACCAUCUGAGUUGGGUCGGAAUGAGGAUUUCUCUACCUGGGGAGUUCGAAUUUCGGUUCAGCAAGGAGGGUUAAGUCGUAACAAGGUA
This 1440-nucleotide ribosomal RNA is filed under the name metagenome. RNAcentral's name for it is "bacterial SSU rRNA". It matches the Rfam family "Archaeal small subunit ribosomal RNA". The record is from RNAcentral.